CCUGAGUGUACGUGUUUGUGACAAGUGAAAUUAAAUUGUAUUAAAAUAUCAUACUAAACUAUAUUGCUGAUAUCAGACGUACGAAAAGCAGAAGGAAGAGUUAAAGAGAAGUCCAGAUUCAUUAUUUCUGACUUAAAUAGUCUUCAGAAAUGCUCCAGAUAUUUUGUUGAUGUUGAAAAGGCACAACGUGAUAGAACGCCAUGACACCAGAUGUUGGUUUGAAAUAUAAUUUUGUAAAGAAUUGAUUCAUAUUCGAAACUGCGUUCUAUCAUUGAAUAGGAGGUAUGUACCUACCCCGGUAUCUUCCUAUUUUUCCGGCUUUUCCGAUAAAGAUCUGUUAUAUUUUCCCAAGCCUGUGCACGCGGAUAGAAAUUUACGUGGAAAUGGAAAUUUAGUUUCACAUGGAAAAACACUCGCACCCGAACGGGACUCGGUUCUGGGAUAUUCAGAACCCAAAGCAAGCAUGCUAUUCACUUCUCCACAAAGGGCCUCCUAUAUUUUGUUACAUUUUUCCGUGUUUUCUUUGCAACCGAAAUCAAUAUCUUCCUCAAAAGCAGUAUCGAUGUAAUUGAAGCAUAGAAACCAAUAUUUUAUUUCAAUGUUUGUUUGCUAAUGGGUCAAGGAUGAAACUUUUCAAAUUUAGGUGCUGUUCCAUGGUCACAGGAAAUGAGAUUUCGAAGCAUUUUUCAAAGAUCUUGCCUUUUUUUUUUUCAAUUAACUCCGCUGUCGAACGAUCAGAGGGGAAAUGCGAUUGGAAAUUUUCCCAAACAAUUUAAUCAAGAAGUGAAAAGAGAAGUAGGUUAUGAAUUAACAUUUUCUCUAGAUGAUUUACUUAAUUGAUUAGAUCUCUGGGGUUCGAAGAGAAUGAUAAUCUUUUCCCGUGCAAAAUGGAACGCUUCAACGUUUACUGGCCAACAUGUAAUAUCGUAAUUGAAUCGCCGUGGACUAUGUA
Long non-coding RNA from Osmia bicornis bicornis, 952 nucleotides. RefSeq lists it as uncharacterized. NCBI's taxonomy places the organism in Eukaryota, Metazoa, Arthropoda, Insecta, Hymenoptera, Megachilidae. The transcript has 4 exons. The record is from RefSeq and is a predicted model, not a curated record.